GACGAACGCUGGCGGCGUGCUUAACACAUGCAAGUCGAACGGAAAGGCCCUUCGGGGUACUCGCGUGGCGAACGGGUGAGUAACACGUGGGUGAUCUGCCCGGCACUUUGGGAUAAGCCUGGGAAACUGGGGCUCAUACCGAAUAGGACCGCGGCCGGCGCGGGUUGUGGUGGAAAGCUUUUGCGGUGUGGGAUGGGCCCGGGGCCUAUCAGCUUGUUGGUGGGGUCAUGGCCUACCAAGGCGACGACGGGUAGCCGGCCUGCGAGGGUGACCGGCCACACUGGGACUGAGAUACGGCCCAGACUCCUACGGGAGGCAGCAGUGGGGAAUAUUGCACAAAGGGCGCAAGCCUGAUGCAGCGACGCCGCGUGAGGGAUGACGGCCUUCGGGUUGUAAACCUCUUUCAGCUCCGACGAAGCGCGAGUGACGGUAGGAGUAGAAGAAGGACCGGCCAACUACGUGCCAGCCGCCGCCGUAA
This 478-nucleotide ribosomal RNA is filed under the name uncultured bacterium. RNAcentral's name for it is "partial 16S ribosomal RNA". It matches the Rfam family "Bacterial small subunit ribosomal RNA", at positions 28 to 523 of the family's 1533-position model. The record is from RNAcentral.